CUUAGCUUCCCAUCCUAGAUAUACAUUUGGGUCACUAUCCCCAUCAACACUAGGUAAUUUUAAAAAAGGUAGGGUCUUCUUUGGUUGUUGAUGAUGGCGCCUAGCUUCAAAAUUUUGCACUCUCCAAUCUUUUUCUUAUUGACUUCCGUAGUGCAUGUAAUGUAUUGUAGCUCUUAUAAGUUCCUAUCCUUUCUCUAGCUUGUCUCUCUUGAGUAUCCUCUAGCCUUUGCAUUCUUUCCACUAGUUUCCGCAUUUCUUCUUCAUUGUGGGCCUAACUCCUCUUGGUAUCUUCAAGGUCCCCCAAAAGACGUGCCUUUUGAGGAGAUAACGAUUUUGAAGACUGUCUCAAAGACAAAUGAGCCAUAAUUUGCACAAAUGAAAGAAAACCAUUAGUGAAAAACAAGAAUUAUUGCACUCACUCACGUGUAUCACUCGGCUACAUUCAAGGAAGAUUUUGAACUCCAAAGGGUCUACACUUGGUAGCAACACUUCAAGUGAAAGAGGUCAAAGCUCUUAUCACUUCCUCACACAAAGAAUCCCCAACAAAACUUUAGAGAACAAAAAAAUUUAAGAGAAGCAAGAAAGAAAGCUAAUUCAAAAAGAAAUUAAGAUGAUGACAAAACUUUUACAAGACAAACAAGAAAAGCACUUUUGAAGAAUCAAAGAAACUUACUUAAACUUUUAACUAUGAAGUUUUAAUUUUCUUAGAAUUUGUGAAAAUAAGAAGGAUAAAAUUUCACAAAUACAAUUUGCCGCACAAAAAGAAUCCUCUUUUUAGCAAUUUUGAACCUGAAAGGUGAAUUGUACUAAAUUUGUUUUUGUCUUUUUUUUUAUGGAUUCAAAAUGUCUAUAAUCUUGGCAUGCAUAUUUUUAAUUCACUUUAAAUUUUCACAAGGAGAUUGGGAUACAAUUCAUAUAAUCACUUGAAUUUUUUGUUUGAAACUAAAUCAACUACCACUUAAACAAAUUCUAAUUGCUUUUAGCUCUUCAAAAUUAAAGUUAAAAUAAGUAGAAUGGAUUUAAAGACUCAUAGAACACUAAGAACAUAAGACUCAAGCAAAAUAGGUAAGGUAAAAAAAAGACGACAAAAUAAUUCAAAAGCAUAAUUUAAAUUUCUUAAUUAAUAAAAAGUGGAAUUGUGAAUGACAAGAAUUUAAAGACUGAAUUGAAAGGUGCUGAAUUGCAAAGAAAAAUUUAAAUUGCUGGAAAAGACAUAAUUGAAAUGUGCUGGAAAAUUAAAGAAGAAAUCAAAUCAAAAGCCAUUAAGCACAAGAUAACCACGCUCUGAUACCACAUGGUGUGAGUUGAUUUUAGGAUUGCACAUUUUAUGGUUUGCACUUUGUUUAUGAGUUUUUGAUAUAAGAAGAAUAUUAUGAGAAGCCCAAAGAAAGAUUGUCACUGAAAACGAACUUAACCAAGUGGUUAAGUAAGUGUGAAGAUUUUCUUCUAGAGGGAAAGAGAAAAAACAAUUAUAUGGUGUUGAUGAUGAUGAGGUGCGGAAAUAAAACAUAUAAUGGAAAACAACAAGAUGGAAAAACCAAAAAGGAAAACAACAACACAAGAAUAUAAGAAGAAUGGAAAAGGCCCAAGGAAGGAAGAGAUGAAGAGAUAGAGGAAGCUUAUGGAUGAUGAUGGUGGUCACGCCACUUGGAGUGGUGGGAGACUACAAGAUGAGUGGUGAAGAGCCGCCACUUGAAGUGCACAAACACCCAAGAUAAAACCAAUAAAAAGAUAGCACUCAAGACUCACUCAACACUGUGACAAAGUUUCUUUACUAUUCAAAAUUCAAGGUGAAUUACAUGAGGCAAGACACCCUACUUAUAGGAGAGGAUGCCUUGGUGGGUGAUAGAAAACAACUACAUAUACCAUACUAAAACUAUGACCCAAGGUAUAUUAUGAGCUACUAAAACUAAGGCUUUCUAAAAGCUUCUCUCUUUUUCUUCCUCUUAUUUCCAAAAUAUCUCACUUAUAUAUGUGAGUUUUAGGUUAACAGAGAUUGGGCUGACCUAAUCCCGUUUACUUUUACUAACUACACUGUUCCUAUUACAUUAUGUAAUCCUUUAUCUAUGGAGGUUGUUUCUGAUAACUCUUGGGCCUGUGUGGUAUUGGGCCUAUCCUAACAUUACUAUCCGCCCCAGAAAACACUUUGUCCUCAAAGUGGAGUCUUGAGUCUAAUUGGGCCGCUAGUGCUUCUUGGGCCAUUGGCCUGUGCAUGAAGGUGGUGUUGGAUGAAGAUAAGGGGUAUGUCUUGUAAGUGGGUCGCAUAAGUGAAGGUGGGCUGGGGCUGAACAAUUUUAAAAUUAGGGUGAAAUAGAAGGAAAAUGGUUGCUUGGGAAUUAGGUUUAGGAGGAGGGCGUCACUUGGUCAUUAGGUUUAGGAGGGAAGGGCGCUGUUGUUGUUGAUUUUUUUUUAAGUGGGAGGAACAAUCUUUGGUGGUUUUAGUAUAGUAUUUUGAUGGAUUAGGAUGUCUAGCUUAUGCAGCAAACAUUAUUUAUCUAUUGCUUCUGGGGUGUUUGUUCAUCUCUUUAUUCUUGGAGAUUCUUAAUGUGGUUUGGUUUAUGUAAAAGGGUUGGGAUACCCCUUUUGUAUCCCUCUUAAUUUAAUUUCAUUCUUUGCUUAUAAAAAAAAAACUAAAAGCUUCUCUCUUUUUCUUAUUUCCAAAAUAUCUCACUUAUAUAUGUGAGUUUUAGGUUAACAAAGAUUGGACUGACCUAGUCCCAUUUAAUUUUACUAACUACAUUGUUCCUAUUACAUUAUGUAAUCCUUUAUCUAUGUAGGUUGUUUUUGUUGACUCUUAGGCUUGUAUGGUAUUGGGCCUAUCCUAACAUUACCCCAGGGCAUAGAUGCACCACUUCUCGUUUUCUACUUCUCUUGGACGACUCUUACCUAAACCCUAAACCAUAGACCUACAAACACUGAAUGCCAAAACACCAUCCAUUUUCAUUUAUCACCCCAAGCCCUCACGGGCAACACAUCUCCCAAAACUCUAUAAUUCAAUGGUCUAAUUCACUACCUACCUAUCACUGUUCUCAUAGAUUCAGGUAGCUCCCACAACAUUCUCCAGCCUCACAUUGUUCACCACCUCCACCUACCCAUUACACCAAGUGAUGUGAGUUGAUUAGUAGAUUCAUUAAUUUGUGACACUUUAAGAACAGAAUAAGGAGGCUUAAGGAAAGAUCAAUGGAGUUCAAAAGAAAUUACAAAAAGAGACAUCCAUUGAUGCUCAAAUCCCAAAGCCUUGGCCUUGCUCCUAGUAAUCUUUUGAAGCAUGAAGGAUGUUGAGCUCAUGGGUUGGGCUUGGGCCUCAAGCGCCUCCUCUACUUGAUCUUCAUCACCAAGCCCCCCCUUAUCAGUGAUAGUAGGCAAUGGUGCCUUCAUACAAUGCCAAGGCAUAUGUCCCUUAGUGGACAUCUCCCUUCAAACUUCUACAUUCACCAUUACUUUCUACUAUUACCUAUUGAAGAAGUAGAUGUAGUUUUGGGUAUUGAAUGGUUACGCACCCUCGGGCCUAUUCAGAUAGAUUUCUCUAUACCCAGCAUUGCUUUCACCCACCAGAACCAAAAAAUCACCCUACAAGAUGCCCCUCCAUCUACUACAACUUCAACCACCUACCACCAAUUAUGUCAAUACCUAUCCACCAACUCCAUUGCAUCCCUUCACCUGCUUUUAAUUGACAGCAACCCUAUUCCACCAGUGACCUUGGAUUCUGACCUACAAAACCCAUCCUCUCCAUUAUAUUCCUUUCCUUUUCUCAUUCAGUCCAUUCUCCUACAAAACAAAAACAAUCUUUCAAAAACCCCAAGGUUUACCACCACCUAGACCACAUGACCACCACACACCUCUUCUCCUUCAUACCCCAUCCAUUAAGGUUAAACCUUAUCGCUCUCCCUACUCCCAUAAGGAAAUUAUAACUCAACUCAUCUCUGAAAUGCUUCAAGAGGGUAUCAUUAAACCCAAGACAAGCCCUUUCUCUUCCCCAGUGCUCCUCAUAAAAAAAAGAUGGUACUUGGCGAUUUUGUGUUGAUUAUAGAGCCUUAAAUGCAACCACCAUUCGUGAUCGCUUCCCCAUUCUUACCAUCAAUGAAUUGCUCGAUGAACUAGGCUCAACUACAAUUUUCACUAUGAUUGAUUUAUAUUCAGGGUAUCAUCAAAUUCGACUCAUCCCUCACGACACUCACUAAUUAGCAUUUUGAACCAUUGAUGGACAUUACAAUUUUCUAGUCAUGCCUUUUGGCUUGACUAAUACACCCUCCACUUUUCAGGCAGCCAUGAAUGACCUUCUCAAAUCUUUUUUAAAACGGUUUGUCAUAGUGUUUUUUUUAUGAUAUUUUGAUUUAUAGCCCCAAUUUGAAGGAACAUAUUAUGCACUUACAGAUUAUCUUAGAAGUUUUACAUACUAAGAAAUUUUUUGCUAAGUUAUCUAAGUGAAGUUUUUCCACUUCUCAAGUCAAUUAUUUAGGUCAUAUCAUUUCGGCUAAAGGAUUAGCACCAGAUCCAGAAAAAGUCAUUGCCAUACACAAUUGGCCACAACCACGUUCAUUCACGAAAUUGUGUGGUUUCCUCGACCUCACAUGAUUUUAUAGAAAGUUUGUUUAUCACUAAGCCACUCUCAUCGCUCCUCUCACCGAUUUGUUGCAUAACCAAAAUUUACAUGGAGCAUCUCGGCUCAGGAGGCCUUUGCAGAAUUAAAAUUACAAAUAUCUCAAGUUCCUACACUACACCUACCAGAUUUCUC
Molecule: long non-coding RNA, 4735 nt
Filed under: Phaseolus vulgaris (common bean)
Lineage: Eukaryota; Viridiplantae; Streptophyta; Magnoliopsida; Fabales; Fabaceae
Description: long non-coding RNA (PVUL_LNC003363)
Source: RNAcentral